ACCUUAAGGAAAAGAAGGUAUAACAUAAGGUAUUUUAGCGUAGAAAAAUAGUGAGGGACAUUUGAGUACAUUUCAAAAACAUUCUGGAAAAUGCUGUGCAGCGGGUGUAAGCAGGCGAGUCGAGAGAACGUCAGGGAGAAUUUAUGGCAAUGCCACUUGGACAAACCUUGUGUCGAAGACGAAUAGCCAUGUACAGAGGCGAUAUCCUUGACGGUUAUAAUUCCAUCAUUGUGACACAUAAUGUCUGAAUAACGAAUCCACUGUUUACAGGCGCAAGAUAAGCGCACGCAUAGCGCGCUUAACUUAUGCGUAUUAGAAUCCGAAACGUGUUUGUGUUGCGACAAAGUUUGUCCUAAACGAUUUGCCGUAAACGGUGCUGCAGCCCGUGAAUUAGCAGAAUAAGCUACCGAUAUGCACGGUACAAAAAGAAAAAAAAGAUUAAACCCUUGGAAAUCCCAUUCUCUCUUCUGAAUUACAACCGAACUCACCGCAGCCUCGAUGCAGAGGACAGCAGAUUACGAGGAUGAUUUCUUCGGAGCAAAAGAGGACAACGACGCUGUUUUGGAGAAGUCCCGAGUUGGCUGGACCAUAGCAGAUGUCAGUGAAGAUGUUUGUACUGGGUGGCAGGAGCCAGAGUCCACCCACAUUAAGAAGGAAGUGGAUGAUGAAGAGCGCCCCUGCAGUCAAAAAAUGGAGGAGGCAGACCCCCUGCUCAUGAAAAAGGAGGACGAAGGGCACACUCACAUCAAAGAGAAGGAAGAGCUCCUCCAAACCAAGGGAUAUGAAGAAAAGCUUCUCCACAUCAAAGCUGAGGAUGAGGAGCAGAAUGUAUGCAAGUUGUCUUUGACUGCUGUCCCUUUAAAAAGUGAAGAUGAGGGCCAAAGUGAAGCGAGCAGAGGGGUGGGGCCUCCAGGCAGCAGCUCAUGUCAUCACGUGACAUCAGAAAGUGAUGGAGGAUCAUUUGCAGAUGGUCUCUUAGCUCCACCAUCGGGUGGUGAAGACAUGACUCCAUGCUCUACUGAGACUGAUGCUAAAGCAUAUGAAGGUGAUAUGACAUGUGAAACUGACAAACGCUGGAAAUGUUCGCAGUGUGGGAAAACGUAUGCUUGUGCCAGCAGUUUGAAGAGGCAUAUGAUUUGCCAUUGUAUUGAGAAACCUUAUCCAUGCUCAUUAUGUGGCCGAAGAUUCUCUCAGAAGGGAACCUUAAAAAAACACAUAAGAACACACACUGGUGAGAAACCUUAUGUCUGCUUGGUGUGUGAGCAAAGAUUCACCCGGAAGGAAAGCUUAAAAUGUCACACAAGAACCCAUACUGGUGAGAAACCUUUUGCCUGCUCAGUUUGUGGCCAAAAUUUCUCAGAGAAGGGAUACUUAAAAAGACACAUGAGAAGACACACUGGUGAGAAACCUUUUGCCUGUUCAGUUUGUGACCAAAGGUUCUCUGAGAAGCGAACCUUAAAAAUACACAUGAAAACGCACACUAGUGAGAAACCUUUUGCCUGUUCAGUUUGUAACCAAAUAUUCUUUGAUAAGGGGCAGUUAAAAAUACACACAAGAACCCACACUGGUGAGAAACCUUUUGUCUGUUCCGUUUGUGGCCAAAGAUUCUCUCAUAAGGGACAUUUAAAAACGCACACAAGAAUCCACACUGGGGAAAAACCCUUUCCUUGCUCAGUUUGUGGUCAAAGAUUCUCCGAGAAGGGAAGCUUAAAAUUACACACAAGAACACAUACUGGUGAGAAACCUUUUACCUGCUCAGUUUGUGGACAAAGAUUUUCUCAGAAGGGAAGCUUAAAAUUGCACACCAGAACACACACUGGUGAGAAACCCUUUACCUGCUCAGUUUGUGGACAAAGAUUCUCGCAGAAGGGAGGCUUAACAAUACACACAAGAACACACACUGGUGAGAAACCCUUUGCCUGCUCAGUUUGUGGCCAAAGAUUCUCUUGGAAACAACACUUAAAACGUCAUAUAAACACACACACUGAUGAGAAACCUUUUCCGUGCUCAGUCUGUGAUAAAAGAUUCUCCCUGAAGGGAUAUUUGACAGCACACAUGAGAACGCACACUGGUGAGAAACCUUUUGUCUGCUCAGUUUGUAACAAAAGGUACUUGACAAAGGAACAAUUGACUGAACACACAAGAACACACCCUGAUGAGAAGCCUUUUUCCUGCACAGUUUGUGGUCAAAGAUUCUCUGAGAAGGGAAGCUUAAAAAGACACACAAGAACCCACACUGGUGAGAAACCUUUUGCCUGCACAGUUUGUGACAAAAGAUUCUCUCUGAGGGGAAGCUUAAAAAUACACACAAGAACCCACACUGGUGAAAAACCUUUUUCAUGCACAGUCUGUGGCCAAAGAUUCUCUCACAAGAUAUCUUUAAAGCGUCAUAAAAAAAGACACAUCGGUGAGAAAACCUUUUCCUGCUCAAUUUGUGGCAAAAGCUUCUCGUGGAAGUAUCAGGUUAAGAAUCACAAGUGUGUUGGUGAGAUGAGCAGUCAUCAGUGAAGUUUUGGCUUCUUAUCUGAGCAGACUUAAUCAGUUCAUGCUCCAAGGAUGGCUGAAUUCAAUGCAGCGUUUUGCAAGGUUGCUCGGAUUCUAUUUUUCUUUGUUGGAGUGAAAUAUCAAGUGAAAAUGUUGUAAGUCUUUAGAUCGUUAAUUCAUUUUCAUUUGUACGUUUUCAAUUUGCUUUAUUGCAAUUUUUUUAUGUUUUCACAAUAUAAUGGCUUCUGUGUCAGUGCUGCCUCAUAUAAUCAUGUCUCAGGUAACAGUUAAAAAUGUAUGAUGGCAAAUAAUGAUGUGUUUCUGAGUCUCACUAUCUGUUUUUGGUGUGUGUCCAUGAGGAAGUGAGAGAGAAAAGACUGACGCGGCGCAGAAAGCAGAAGAUCGCAUCGACACAUCAUAAGCGCCCACACUCAAGGUUUUGCAUUUAGCGCGAUGAUGCACACAUCAGAUUGCUCAGUGGAAAGAUAAAAAUAAAAACAACAUCGACAAAGUGAAAUUGAACAAUCGCUGUGUUUAAACUAAUUCACGGACCAGCAGUAUCAUAAUGUCACGCAUGAUUAGCAUCAUGUACGAAUGUGCCCAUUCGAUCGAGAAUUUUUGCCAUAAAAGUGCAAUAAAUCAAUACAGAGGUGUA
Molecule: RNA transcript, 3139 nt
Organism: Hippocampus zosterae (dwarf seahorse)
Lineage: Eukaryota; Metazoa; Chordata; Actinopteri; Syngnathiformes; Syngnathidae
Exons: 4
Source: RefSeq, a predicted model, not a curated record